GGGCUUCGUUGUUUACCUUUAUACACUACAUAUUCACUUUCGUUUCGUGGUUUACCAAAAUACACAACAACAUAUUCACUAUGUACUUGGUAACAGUAAUUAAUUAAUUGAAUAGAAAAUAUUAUAACAAAUAUUAUUGGAUGCCGAAUUGACGUCGAAUAGGUGCCGAUUUGACUAGAUGCCAAUUUAACCAGGUGCCGACUUGACUUGUACGUUUCAAUUCCUCUGCGAUCGUUUGCGGUAUUUUCUUGAGAAAACCUAUUUUCCAUCAUCAAAGAGAAGAAGAAACUGCUUUAAAAAAAUUCGUAAGGGUUCCACGGAACCCGGUGUCUCGCCUACUUUUUCUGUUAAUCGCAGACUCAACAAAAAUGAGGAAAAACAUCAAUAAAAAUUUUCCUCACGAUACUGUCUUUUGAUUGAAAGAAGCUUCCAAGUUUGGUAAAAAAAUCCAGGAUAGUUUAUGAAUCUAAUAAAUGUUUUAUAAACUUUAACUGCAGACUGUAUGUAAUGUUAACUGGAAGAAAAACU
RNAcentral lists this long non-coding RNA (528 nucleotides) under Mytilus galloprovincialis (Mediterranean mussel). Lineage: Eukaryota; Metazoa; Mollusca; Bivalvia; Mytilida; Mytilidae. The record is from RNAcentral.